CCUACGGGAGGCAGCAGUGGGGAAUAUUGGACAAUGGGCGAAAGCCUGAUCCAGCAAUGCCGCGUGAGUGAUGAAGGCCUUAGGGUUGUAAAGCUCUUUUACCAGGGAUGAUAAUGACAGUACCUGGAGAAUAAGCUCCGGCUAACUCCGUGCCAGCAGCCGCGGUAAUACGGAGGGAGCUAGCGUUGUUCGGAAUUACUGGGCGUAAAGCGUACGUAGGCGGUUAUUCAAGUCAGAGGUGAAAGCCUGGAGCUCAACUCCAGAACUGCCUUUGAAACUAGAUAGCUAGAAUCUUGGAGAGGUGAGUGGAAUUCCGAGUGUAGAGGUGAAAUUCGUAGAUAUUCGGAAGAACACCAGUGGCGAAGGCGACUCACUGGACAAGUAUUGACGCUGAGGUACGAAAGCGUGGGGAGCAAACAGGAUUAGAUACCCUGGUAGUCCACGCCGUAAACGAUGAUAACUAGCUGUUCGGGCUCUACGAGCUUGAGUGGCGCAGCUAACGCAUUAAGUUAUCCGCCUGGGGAUACGGUCGCAAGNUUAAAACUUAAGGAAUUGACGGCUGAGAGNGCGACGACGACGACGAGGGAGAGG
This 591-nucleotide ribosomal RNA is filed under the name uncultured bacterium. RNAcentral's name for it is "bacterial SSU rRNA". It matches the Rfam family "Bacterial small subunit ribosomal RNA", at positions 338 to 950 of the family's 1533-position model. The record is from RNAcentral.